This 288-nucleotide ribosomal RNA is filed under the name uncultured Microgenomates group bacterium. RNAcentral's name for it is "partial 16S ribosomal RNA". It matches the Rfam family "Bacterial small subunit ribosomal RNA", at positions 371 to 674 of the family's 1533-position model. The record is from RNAcentral.
AUGGGCGGAACCCUGACGGAGCAACACUGCGUGACCGAUGACGGCCUUCGGAUUGUAAAGGUCUUUUCUGAGGAAUAAUUCUGACGGUACCUUAGGAAUAAGCACCGGCUAACUCCGUGCCAGCAGCCGCGGUAAUACGGAAGGUGCAAGCGUUAUCCGGAAUCAUUGGGCGUAAAGCGUCUCUAGGUUGUGUAUCUAAGUCGGGUGUUAAAUUCAAGGGCUCAACUCCUUGACUUGUAUCCGAUACUGGACCACUAGAGUCUUGUAGAGGCACGUGGAAUUCUGUGU